AUUGAACGCUAGCGGCAGGCCUAACACAUGCAAGUCGAACGAGUGGCGGACGGGUGAGUAAUAUCUGGGAAAGUGCCUAAUAGAGGGGGAUAACUACUGGAAAGGGUGGCUAAUACCGCAUACUAUUGGAGCGGCCGAGAUGGGAUUAGCUAGUUGGUGGGGUAAAGGCUCACCAAGGCAACGAUCCGUAGCUGGUCUGAGAGGACGACCAGCCACACUGGAACUGAGACACGGCCCAGACUCCUACGUGAGGCAGCAGUGGGGAAUAUUGCACAAUGGGCGAAACCCUGAUGCAGCCAUCCCGCGUGUAUGAUGAAGGCCUUCGGGUUGUAAAGUACUUUCGGCGGAGAGGCGGUAUCCGCAGAAGAAGCACCGGCUAACUCCGUGCCAGCAGCCGCGGUAAUUC
This 406-nucleotide ribosomal RNA is filed under the name uncultured bacterium. RNAcentral describes it as "partial 16S ribosomal RNA". It matches the Rfam family "Bacterial small subunit ribosomal RNA", at positions 30 to 526 of the family's 1533-position model. The record is from RNAcentral.